RNAcentral lists this ribosomal RNA (509 nucleotides) under Calligrapha alni. Its description in RNAcentral is "partial 16S ribosomal RNA". The stretch from base 382 to 509 matches the Rfam family "Bacterial large subunit ribosomal RNA", at positions 2473 to 2600 of the family's 2925-position model. Lineage: Eukaryota; Metazoa; Arthropoda; Insecta; Coleoptera; Chrysomelidae. The record is from RNAcentral.
GUCUUUUUGUUAAAAAUUUAAAGUCGGGCCUGCCCACUGAAAUUUUAAAUGGCCGUGGUAUUUUGACCGUGCUAAGGUAGCAUAAUCAUUAGUUUUUUAAUUGAAAGCUGGAAUGAAAGGUUUGAUAAAAAAAUGACUGUCUCUAUUUAAUUUUAUUAAAACUUUAUUUUUAAGUUCAAAAGCUUAAUUUUAAUUAAAAGACGAGAAGACCCUAUAGAGUUUAAUAAUUUAAGAUAAAUUUAUAUUUUAGAAUUAACUUAUAAAUUUAAAAUAUUAUUUAAUUGGGGUGAUUGAAAAAUUUAAUUAACUUUUUUUAUAUUGAACCAUUAAUUUAUGAUAAUUUGAUCCAAUUUUUUGAUUAUAAGAUAAAAUUACCUUAGGGAUAACAGCGUAAUUUUUUUAGAAAGUUCAAAUUAAAAGAAAAGAUUGCGACCUCGAUGUUGGAUUAAAAUUAAAUUUUGGUGUAGAAGCUAAAAAUUUUAAGUCUGUUCGACUUUUAAAAUUUUACA